CGGAGUAAACGCAAAUUGACGUAGAGCUUUUGUUGGUCCGUCUCCGUGUGGGGUGGGGUGGGGUGUGGUCUGCAGGGAUAUGUAUAAGCAAGUCAAAGUCGAGAAGGACGAGGCGAGAACCGCUAGUGGAAAAGGGUAGAGUGGGGCGUGUUCGGUCAACGUGUGUCGCUCACCGUGUCUGGAACGGGCCGAUCGGUAGAGAGGCGUCGCUCGCUUCCGUCCGUCCCGCUACUUCGCGCAGCACCCCCCGGUCCCUGUACCUCGCCGUACCGCGACGCACACAGCGUCACGCAGAAGCGGCGGCGCAGGCGGCGGCGGUACAGGAGGCGGAAGCCGAGGGAGUUGAUGUCGCGGAUGAAGAUGGACCUAUGUCGCAACUGGGACGUCAAAGACACCUCAUACCCGAAACGAACGGCCCUGUAGAAACGAAACUCCUUGUUCUUCCUAGAAGUGUGGCGGGGCCUUGAAUAUGACUAGAAAUUAUAGCCGCUGACCCAGGACCGCUAAGAGUACAAGACCCGUAGGACGCGGCGCCGGUCGCACUGCUAGAAGAAGUCCUUCCUACACUUCAAGACGCGCCUCAUGACCGCCGACGGGACGUGGGUCAAGCUCGAAAGCCAGCGGGACCGCAAGUAGUGCACCAACGACGUCCGGCGCAGAAGAAAGAGGCCCAAGACCGAAGAGCAAAGGAACGAGAUCACUAGAGUGACGCGCGGAUCUUAGUGGCAGCGCAGCACGAUUAGCAGUCAGUCCUCGUCUUUAGUCAACGUCUCACGAGCCCUGUGCGAACAAUCUAAAGUCAAUACCCGCGCGUGGGAAGUAGUGAACUAUCAACCAUGUAUCUAACAGACAAACUAUCGAGUAGAAACAAAAUCCUCGAACAAUAGUCGCGGAAUCAAGACCAUUUUGAGAAGACAAUUACCUUGUUUUAAGGAUAUAAAACUGCACCUUACCUACCUCAUUAAUAACACC
Molecule: ribosomal RNA, 972 nt
Filed under: Triticum aestivum (bread wheat)
Lineage: Eukaryota; Viridiplantae; Streptophyta; Magnoliopsida; Poales; Poaceae
Description: partial small subunit ribosomal RNA
Source: RNAcentral